Molecule: ribosomal RNA, 429 nt
Filed under: Actinomycetes bacterium
Lineage: Bacteria; Bacillati; Actinomycetota; Actinomycetes
Description: Actinobacteria bacterium partial 16S ribosomal RNA
Rfam family: Bacterial small subunit ribosomal RNA
Source: RNAcentral
UAGGGAAUCUUCCGCAAUGGGCGAAAGCCUGACGGAGCAACGCCGCGUGAGUGAUGAAGGUCUUCGGAUCGUAAAACUCUGUUAUUAGGGAAGAACAAAUGUGUAAGUAACUAUGCACGUCUUGACGGUACCUAAUCAGAAAGCCACGGCUAACUACGUGCCAGCAGCCGCGGUAAUACGUAGGUGGCAAGCGUUAUCCGGAAUUAUUGGGCGUAAAGCGCGCGUAGGCGGUUUUUUAAGUCUGAUGUGAAAGCCAACGGCUCAACCGUGGAGGGUCAUUGGAAACUGGAAAACUUGAGUGCAGAAGAGGAAAGUGGAAUUCCAUGUGUAGCGGUGAAAUGCGCAGAGAUAUGGAGGAACACCAGUGGCGAAGGCGACUUUCUGGUCUGUAACUGACGCUGAUGUGCGAAAGCGUGGGGAUCAAACAGG